AAUUUAUACGACCGAAUUUCCGUGCGCAUGCGUCAAACAUUACAGCUCCAUGUGACCAGAGAGAAACCUAAGAGCGACCACCGGCCUGAUCUCAGUGGCCAGGGAUCUUAUUCUUGAGAUAUUUGUGUUCGCAGGAUGCAACGAAUGGUCCAUACUAGACGUUUCAAGAGAAACGUGUACGUUUUAGUAGUGAAAAAGAAGUAAUGUACGAAAGAAGUAAAGAACGAAUGUCGACAUAUACAAAUAUCGGAACGCAGUCAUUGUAGAGAAAUGUACAAUUUCUACAUAAAAAUGGAUUUAGAUGAUGUGAUAAUAAAUGCGCCGAUUUUGGACGCUUUAGAAAGUAUAGACAUUCCAGAAAGAAGAAGACGAAGAUUUUAUAUUCAGGAGGAUCCUUUCGAAUUAAAUAAUAAAGAAUUUGUACAAUUAUCCAGGUUAAGUAAAGCUGCUGCUAGAAAUUUAAAAGAAAUUGUCGAACUGCAUUUGAUUCUUCCAACGAGAAUAUCUGUGAUAAAUUCUACAACAAAGGUUAUAACGGCAUUGCGAUUUUUUGCAACUGGAUCUUACCAAAUGAACAUUGGUAAAAAUAUAUUCAUGAGUGUUAGCCAGUCAACAGUCUCCCACAGCAUCCAUGAAAUUAUAGAUUAUAACAAGAUCAGAUAUUAUGAAUGAGUGGAUUAAGUUUCCUAGUACAUUAGCAGAAUUGAACAAAUUGCGAACACAAUUCUACAGGAAAUUUGAAUUCCCAGGUACAAUAAAAAGGUGUAUUGACUGUACCCAUAUCGCUAUUGUCGCACCAACGGCGAAUGAUAACGUUUACCCAGAACAUAUAUAUGUUAACAGAAAAGGAUACCAUUCAAUUAAUACUUAAUUGAUAUGUGACUGGCAGAUGAAAAUUAUGCACAUUAAUGGACGUUAUUCUGGAAGCGCUCAUGAUACAUUUAUAUGGAACAACUCUAAUGCAAAAAACGCUAUAAUUAAUCUUUAUAGGCGCUAUCCACACAAAAAUUUCCAUUUAGUAGGUGAUUCGGAGUAUUCUCUCAGGCCUUGGAUGAUGACACCUAUAUUAGGUGCUGUCGAAGGUACUCCAAAAGCCGCAUAUAAUAAAAAAUAAAUAAGAUGUCGUGCAUUAAUUAAGAACAAUGCAAUGGACUUUAAAAGAUACGAUUUACAUGUCUACUGAAGCACAGAAUAUUGCAUUACUCUCCUCCAACAGCAUCUAAAAUUAUAUAUACAUGUGCUAUAUUAUAUAAUAUGUCCAUUACUGAAAAUGUGCUAUUAUAUUUAAACGAUGAUAAUGAAGAUAUAGACUUUGGUGACUUUUAUAGAUAUAGACUUUUAUAUAACGAAAAUCAUGUUGAAAAUGAAGAAAACGUACCUGAAA
Long non-coding RNA from Odontomachus brunneus, 1384 nucleotides. RefSeq lists it as uncharacterized. Lineage: Eukaryota; Metazoa; Arthropoda; Insecta; Hymenoptera; Formicidae. The record is from RefSeq and is a predicted model, not a curated record. The transcript has 6 exons.